RNAcentral lists this ribosomal RNA (253 nucleotides) under uncultured prokaryote. Its description in RNAcentral is "partial 16S ribosomal RNA". It matches the Rfam family "Bacterial small subunit ribosomal RNA", at positions 524 to 776 of the family's 1533-position model. The record is from RNAcentral.
UACGUAGGCAGCAAGCGUUGUUCGGAGUUACUGGGCGUAAAGAGUGCGUAGGCGGUUUCGUAAGUUUGGUGUGAAAUCUCCCGGCUUAACUGGGAGGGUGCGCCGAAAACUGCGGGGCUGGAGUAGGGGAGAGGUAAGCGGAAUUCCUGGUGUAGCGGUGAAAUGCGUAGAUAUCGGGAGGAACACCUGUGGCGAAAGCGGCUCACUGGACCACAACCGACGCUGAUGCACGAAAGCUAGGGGAGCAAACAGG